CUGGAGACUAAGAAAACAGAGUCCUUGAAGUCAAGCCGACUCUGCUGUUAGCCUCCUAAAGGAAAAGGUAGAUAGAACAGGUCUUGUUUGCAAAAUUAAUUCAAGACCUACUUAUCUACCAACAGCA
This is a non-coding RNA of Ailuropoda melanoleuca (giant panda), 127 nucleotides long. Ensembl annotates it as small Cajal body-specific RNA 15. The record is from Ensembl. Lineage: Eukaryota; Metazoa; Chordata; Mammalia; Carnivora; Ursidae.